AAUCAGCGCCUCCCAGAGUUCCUUAUCUCUUCUUUUUGCGACCGUUCAUCUCCUGCUACAAAUUUAGAUCUACUCUUUUCCUUACUCCCAUCACCUUUCUCUUGACCGGAUCCGUGUGGAUCUGUUCAAGAUCUACACGACGAUGGUGGUUUUGUUCGGUUCUUGCAUAGAUCUGAAGCUUGGAGGCUCAGAUCUUCAUUACAGAGGUGUGCCCUUCAUGUUCGUCUUGCUUUUGGAAUCUGUUUCGUAGAAAGUCGUUUGGUCUAGCCUUUGCCAAGGCUCUUGAGGUAUUGUUUUGCAGGUACGGUGGAUAAUCGAUGAGUGCAACACAGACCCACCAAUAGAUCCAGGCGUUGUUAUUUUGUUGAAAGUCAUGGAUACUUCAGUCUCAGACCUCUCGUGUUUGUACGAAGCAUUAUGUAUUCUUCCGGCUAGAUACAUAUGUUGCAGAUCUCGGAUGUUGUAAAUUUAGUAUAAGAUGUGAAGCUGAGAGGGAGAAAGUAUGUGGAUGUAGAAGAUUUCAGGAUGGAUUACCUCAAUACGUUUAAUCGUUUGAGGUGGUUAGUCCUGAGCGAUCUUGUCAUCCGACCUUUGCCAUGACAGGUGCGCUUGCAUGGCAGGUCAACCAAAAUCUUAAUAAAAAAAGUUUUAUUGGUUUUGGGAGAGAUCGCACGGGAGUUGCCCGGGAUCUCUCCCUCGUGUGGUGUGUGCUCUCCUCCUUUUCGUGUUAUGCCUUUUAUUAUUACCUAUCUGUCGCUCGACUCCAUAUUACGACACUGGCCGGGAUGGAUUCAUCAGCGGAUUCGCUCCCACUCCAAUUGAAUGAGAAAAAGCUAAGUGGAGUUUCUCAAUAAUUAUAUUGCGGAAGGUAAACUGGGGGGUUUUGUUGUGUUCAAUUUUUUCGGUUUAUAAUUAUUCUUGCAUAAGCUUCUAUACGGUUCGUAGUAUAAAACAAUCAAUUCUCACACUGUAGUGUGUAUUAUUCGUUAAAUCUAUGCACUGUAUUAAAAUAUCAUCUGUUUGCGGCUUCCCUUAACCCUAAUUAAAUAUAUUGCUUGGUGUUUUUGAGUUGUGAACUCGAACUCUAUUAUUUUGUUGUCUAAUUUAUUAUAGUUUGAGCUGGCAAAAUUUGGCGAGCUAUCAUCCAGAUAAGAUGGUUCCUUGUACAAUCAAUAUAUGUAACAUCGCUGUAUAUAUUUAUAUGUAAGAAGUCCAGCUACGGUUGUCAACAUUUGUAAUGCAGAAUUAGGUAAAUUUUGAAGAACAUAUUGUCGGGAAUACUACCAUUUUUAAUGCUCACUCGGAUCUUUCGGCACUGUUGGAGCCCGACAAUCAACGAUGAAGAUGCCAUCUUGAUUUCGAAAGUCUCGAAGAACUUCAGUGAUUUUAAUGAAGAAACGUCGAAGAUAUAUCAUGGGUUUAGGAUGAUUCUGAUUUAGUCUGCUUCAAUUAGUAAGGUGAAAGAUAACUUCGGUCCUUUUGAGCAAAGAUUGAUUGAUUUAUGAUUUUCAGCUACAUAAUAUUUUCAUAUCAUGCCUUUUUUUAGUAGUGUGAAUGUUUUAAAGUUAUUAUUUUACAACUCAUGGAUUCUGCGGCUUUAGUAUUUCGGAUGUUUUCACUCAAAAUGUUGAAGUUUACCAUCAUGGUAGCGAGAUUUGUUCAAAAUUUAUUCCAUUUCGAGAUCUCGAGUGUUUUGAAGUUGACUUUUUGAAAUGUUACCACUUCAGCUGAUAUUUAGUUCAUAUGAUUUUUCUCGAAUGGUCGAUAGUUUUCUCCGACUUUUUUUUUAGAUACAGGAAGUAGUUUGAUUUAAUUACGUCGCAAAUGACUUAAAUUUAGAGAAACUUGGCAUGUGUUAUCGCCCUAAGUGGGCAGAUCAAUAUUCAUGGUUUGUUUUUUCUUGCAGGUAAUGCCUUUAAAAGUAAGGGUUUUUUUUUCUUUUAACGUUUUUUGACUUUUUAAAUUUUAAAUGUCAAGUGAAGGCCAUUUUUUGAAUAAAUUGUUAGAAUCUUGGCACAGCUAAGGCAGCCAUCCGUAAAUUCGUGCUUAGUGAAUGUAAUUUUAUUUGCAUUUAUUUGCAUAAAAUGAUGUGUUAAUGUUUUGGUAUAUAUUUGUUCGAAAAAUUGUUACGUCAGCUGAAAAUCUCUUUUUUGAACAGUCUUUUCCAUUAAUUUAUUAAAAAGCAAAACUAUUUCUAUUUAUUUUCAAAAUUUAACGCUUUUUAAAUGUAAACUUAUUAUGAAAAUAGAUAUUUAGUUCUUCUGUAAUUAACCGUAAAAGCAUAAACUGUAAUAAUUUUUAUUGAAGAAAAUAAGUGAUUAUCCCUUUGUUAUAAAGGAAUAUUAUUUUUCAAAUUGUUUUUAGUUAAAAAAUAUACUUUUGAAUUUACAUUGGAACUGAAAGAUAAUAUCUUUUCUUCAGUUCUUGGAUCUUAUUUAGAAUGUUGUUGAAUAAAUUUAUAACAAUGUUUGUAUACUCAUGAUGAAAGAAAAUAAUGGUAUAGUAAAACCGGGAACUGCAAUUAUUAAUUUUCUGAUUUGAAAAUUUUAGGAAUGUGCAGCACCAAAAACUUGGAUUAUAAUGUAAUUUUAAAUAUUUCUAUUUGUAUUAACAUUAUUUAAUUUGAAAUUACCAACAUGUAGUAACUGGGCUGUAAUUUGAAAAUUAUUGACGAUAUAUCCUUUUGGAAUAUUAUAUUUUGUAUAUUUAAAGCGAAUAUUUGUAAAUUAUAUUUGCUUAAAACUGAUAUUAUAAUAAUUUAAUAUUAUUGAAAAUGCCCUGUUGAAACGUUUUCUUUGUAUAUCCUGUAAAAUGCCCUGCAUGUUUGUAUCAGUAUUUAUGUAGAUACUAUUAUGUUUCUUUUUCUCUGUUAAUAUGUCUUUGCGAAUUGUUCCGUAUAAAUUCCCGUUUACAGUUUAUUAUUCCUAUAUAUGAACUGGAUUUCAUAAGUUAUUGAAGUUUAAAAAAAGUGAUGUUUAUAAGCUAAUCUUUGAUGUUUUAUUUUGUUAAUUUUAUGUUCCGUUACUUGAUACUUUUUAUGGAUGGUCGUUAUUUGUUACAUG
Molecule: long non-coding RNA, 3062 nt
Organism: Abrus precatorius (Indian licorice)
Lineage: Eukaryota; Viridiplantae; Streptophyta; Magnoliopsida; Fabales; Fabaceae
Exons: 3
Source: RefSeq, a predicted model, not a curated record